GAUGAAGAACGUAGCGUAAUGCGAUAAGUAAUGUGAAUUGCAGAAUUCAGUGAAUCAUCGAAUCUUUGAACGCACAUUGCGCCCCCUGGUAUUCCGGGGGGCAUGCCUGUUCGAGCGUCAUUUCACCACUCAAGCCUCGCUUGGUAUUGGGCAACGCGGUCCGCCGCGUGCCUCAAAUCGACCGGCUGGGUCUUCUGUCCCCUAAGCGUUGUGGAAACUAUUCGCUAAAGGGUGUUCGGGAGGCUACGCCGUAAAACAACCCCAUUUCUAAGGUUGACCUCGGAUCAGGUAGGGAUACCCGCUGAACUUAAGCAUAUCAAUAAGCGGAGGA
This 331-nucleotide unclassified non-coding RNA is filed under the name soil metagenome. RNAcentral's name for it is "partial contains 5.8S ribosomal RNA, internal transcribed spacer 2, and large subunit ribosomal RNA". The stretch from base 1 to 120 matches the Rfam family "5.8S ribosomal RNA", at positions 35 to 154 of the family's 154-position model. The record is from RNAcentral.